AUGAUGUCAUGGAAACCAAGGUUGUGCACAGUUUUCAGAAGGACAGGGUGAGUAAAUGGAGCCAUGAAGUGACUGGUUUUUCACAAAUCAACUGGCUGGUAAAACUUUCACAAUGCCAAAUAUAAGGUCUAAUGUAUAACAAUUUUUGAAACUUCAUGUGGAAAAAUUAUUCAUUUCACCAGUGACAUUAGGAUCUACUUAUGACCUUUGUAGAUGCAAGCUUUUGCUCAAAUUCCCCUUGUUGGGAAUGGGAAACUGAUUCCUCUGAAAAUGGUGUCUGGAGUGAAGUGUUCUCAUAUUGUGGCUGUUAGGAAAGAAAAAAAGGAGCCAUCACAACAAAAUGAACUGAUGAAACAGCAGAGGAUAUUGAGGCACAGUUGUUAAAGAGGAUGAAUGAGUCACUGUGGUAUGCAAUCCAGGUUGAAAAGUCUAUCAAUGUUAACAAGGCAACAAGGCUUGCUUUUGUGUGAUAUAUUUUCAGAAGGAUGUGCAAGAGGAUAUGUCAUACGCACUUUUACUGCCAACCAACACCACAGCUGCAGAAUUAUUCAAGUCUUUGAAUGAUUACAUAUCAGAAAAAUGAAAUUGGUCAUUUUGUGUCAGUAUACGCACAGACAGAGAGGCUUCCAUAACUGGAUGUCCUUCUGGCUUCACAACUUGGGUCAGAUGGUCACUUCUGCAUGUGACUCCACACAUUGUGUCACCCAUAGAGAAAUACUAGCUAGCUGAAAAAUGUCACCUGAAUUUAGCAACAUUUUGCAGGAUAUCCUUAAAAUUAUCAACCACAUUAAGUACAUGCCCUUAACCCACAUCUGAUGGUGCAGCUCUGUGAGGAGAUGGACGCAGGGCACACACGUCAUCUCUUAUAUACAGAAGUGAUUGCUUUCUGUUAUUUUAUUUUAUAUUUUUUAUUUUAUUUUAUUUUAUUUUAUUUUAUUUUAUUUUAUUUUAUUUUAUGAGGCUGGAGUGCAAUGGCACAAUCUCGGCUCCUGCAACCUCCACCCCCAGGGUUCAAGCAAUUCUCCUGUCUCAGCCUCCUGAGUAGCUGGGAUUACAGGCAUGCGCCACCAAGCCCGGCUAAUUUUUGUACUUUUAGUGGAGAUUGGGUUUCACCAUGUUGGUCAGGCUGGUCUCGAACUCCUGACCUCGUGAUCCACCCACCUCGGCCUCCCAAAGUGCUGGGAUUACAGGCGUGAGCCACUGUGCCCAGCCAGAAGUGAUUGCUUUCUACAGGUAGAUUACUGGCCAGAGUUUUUGAGUUACAAGAGCCACUCCAGAGAUUUCUUUUAGAAAAACAGUCACCACUGGCAACACAUUUCAGUGACACAGAAUGGCUCACAAAACUUGCUUACUUAUGUAACAUAUUCAACCUGCUCAAUGAAGUCAAUCUGUUGUCACUUCAAGGGAGAAUGACAACAGUGUUCAAGUCAACAGAUAAAGUGGCUGCAUUCAAAGCCAAACUAGUAUUAUGAGGGCAAUGCAUAAACAUUGGGAUUUCUGACAUGUUUCAAACAUUAGCAGAAAUCUUGAAACAGACUGAGCCAGGGCCUUCUUUCUCCCAGCUGGUACAUGGAUCACCUAUCUCAGCUUUUUAAAGAAUCUGAGCAUUAAUUCCCAACCAUAAAAAAACCCGAACUGGGAAGAAAUGGAUCGCGACCCACUUGUAAAUUGCCAGGUAAAUCAACUUUGUCCACACUAGAAGAGAGUCAACUGCUUGAGACUGCAAAUGACAGUGGUCUUAAAAGUAUGUUUGAGACAACUUCAAGUCUCCAUACAUUUUGGAUUAGAGUCAAGGAAGAAUAUCCUGAGAUUGCCACAAAAGCACUGAAAAGCCUGCUUCCAUUUCCAAAAUCAUAUCUUUGUGAAGCAGGGUUUUCUGCAAUGAUAGCGACCAAAAUGAGAUUACAGAGUAGACUGGACAUAAUCAACAAACUUUGGGUGUCACUGACUCCCAACACUCCCAGAUGAGACCGUCUAGUUGUGGAAAACAAGCUCCGGGCUCCCACUGAUUCUACAUUAUGGUCUGUGGAGAAAUUGUCUUCCUCAAAACCAGACCCUGGUGCCAAAAAGGUUAGGGACUUCUGCUAUACACUGUGAAGUUAUCCUUCAAGAGCGAAAGAGAAAGACUUCCACAGACAAAAACUGAAGGAUUUUGUGGCCAGUAUAUCUGCUUUGCAAGAAAUGUUAAAAGCCUUCAGAGAGAAGGGAAAUGACACAGGUCAGAAACUCACAUCUAGACAAAGAAAGCAAGAGCAUCGGAGAAGGAAUAAGUGAAGGUAAAAAUUUUUAAAGCUUUAUUAUUCUUAAUUGAUCUAACAAGUGACAUUUUAAUUACAGC
Pan troglodytes (chimpanzee) is the source of this 2338-nucleotide long non-coding RNA. RefSeq lists it as uncharacterized. The transcript is spliced from 5 exons. The record is from RefSeq and is a predicted model, not a curated record. NCBI's taxonomy places the organism in Eukaryota, Metazoa, Chordata, Mammalia, Primates, Hominidae.